GACAGAGGUGCCAAGCGUUAGGCGGAAUCACUGGGCUUAAAGCGUGUGUAGGCGGAUCGUUAAGUACCUUGUGAAAUCCCACGGCUCAACCGUGGAACUGCUCGGUAUACUGGCGGUCUUGAGCUGCUUAGGGGUCGUCGGAACAAACGGUGGAGCGGUGAAAUGCGCAGAUAUCAGGAGGAACACCAAUGGCGAAGGCAGCUCGCUGGAACGGUACUGACGCUGAGGCGCGAAAGCGUGGGGAGCGAACAGG
RNAcentral lists this ribosomal RNA (253 nucleotides) under uncultured bacterium. RNAcentral describes it as "partial 16S ribosomal RNA". It matches the Rfam family "Bacterial small subunit ribosomal RNA", at positions 524 to 776 of the family's 1533-position model. The record is from RNAcentral.